Molecule: ribosomal RNA, 301 nt
Filed under: uncultured bacterium
Lineage: Bacteria
Description: partial 16S ribosomal RNA
Rfam family: Bacterial small subunit ribosomal RNA
Source: RNAcentral
CAGCCGCCGCGGUAAUACAGAGGGUGCGAGCGUUGUUCGGAAUCACUGGGCGUAAAGGGCGCGUAGGCGGCCUGUUAAGUCGGAUGUGAAAGCCCGGGGCUCAACCCCGGAACUGCAUCCGAGACUGGCAGGCUUGAGACCGGGAGAGGAGGGUGGAAUAUCCAGUGUAGAGGUGAAAUUCGUAGAUAUUGGAUGGAACACCGGUGGCGAAAGCGGCUCUCUGGCCCGGAUCUGACGCUGAGGCGCGAAAGCGUGGGGAGCAAACAGGAUUAGAGACCCCGGUAGUCCCUGUCUCUUAUAC